This is a non-coding RNA of Podarcis lilfordi (Lilford's wall lizard), 240 nucleotides long. The record is from the annotation of a GenBank genome assembly. Lineage: Eukaryota; Metazoa; Chordata; Lepidosauria; Squamata; Lacertidae.
GAUUUGUAGGUUUUUUUCUAUGUACAUGCAUGCCUAAUGAGAAGUUGCCUAGGAAAAUAGAUGUGCAAAUAAAAAGCAUAAUUUCACAAAAGGUGGGAAAACAGUUUGUGUUGAGUCACUUCAUAAUAACAUAAGGAGAUCAUUUUAAAAAAAAACAAACAGCCCUGCAUUUUUGGAGACUUUGUAGAAUGUAAGAUGCUGCUACUAAUCAUAGCACCCCUGUUGCCCCCCCCCAUUUUU